CUUAGGCGCAUGUCAGACACGGUCCUGCGUAUUCGUCCCGGGUUGUCCUGCUGUGUGGGUGGCGGUGCUCAGAGUGCAGGUGAUGGAGGUGGAGUCUGCAGCGCUGCUCAGGCGCUGCUGUUUCUGGCUGUGUCGAGGGGGGGUCCAACUGUGAGGCCGUGGCCAGGGCCAGGGUGCAGCUCCAGUCCGCCACCUGCUGGUGAUCCAGAGGAUGCCGAGAGACGAGCUGUAACAGGUGUGGUUUGGUGACCACCUGUUUGGCAGUGUAGUGUGUCGGGGGACAGAGUAGGGAGAGCGUUAGCACCUGACGUGUUGGUCGUGUGGGCUGUAGCGUGUAGCAUGGUGUUGUGUAGCAUGGUGGCGUGUUUGCGACCAAGUGUGCGGCCGGGUUUAGUUGUGCGUGUGUGGAUGGCAUUUGGGACAGCGGCGGUUCGGUUUGUGUGAGAUUGUCGUCUUCGGCUUGCAAUGUUGUGGGUGUCAGCUUCUUUGGUCUGUGCUCGGGUCGAUGUGUAGGUGUGGCGGUUUAGGGUCGAUGAGGCAGGUGUGUGUGUGUGUGUGUGUGUGUGUAGCAGGUUUUGGUUGGCAGUGUGGUCCUGGUUCGAGUCAUCUUGCUGAAGAAUGUCAUGGAGGAGUUGAAGGUGCAGUGCAGCAGCCCCUGCUGAAGUAGGACUUGACGCAGCCAUGGUCAGGGCGGAGCCUAGGCUGGAGGAGGAGAUCCAAUGGAAUGAGCUGCAUCUGUCUGAGUGGGACUCCAGCUCGG
This is a long non-coding RNA of Toxotes jaculatrix (banded archerfish), 760 nucleotides long. RefSeq lists it as uncharacterized. The record is from RefSeq and is a predicted model, not a curated record. The transcript has 5 exons. NCBI's taxonomy places the organism in Eukaryota, Metazoa, Chordata, Actinopteri, Toxotidae.